Molecule: long non-coding RNA, 549 nt
Organism: Calypte anna (Anna's hummingbird)
Lineage: Eukaryota; Metazoa; Chordata; Aves; Apodiformes; Trochilidae
Exons: 6
Source: RefSeq, a predicted model, not a curated record
CCAUAGUGAGGGGAGGAGGGCAGUGCGAUCCAGCCCGGAUUCUGAGUGCUGGUUCUGCCCCAGCAGCGCCUGGGGGAGAGUAUUUAACGCAGCAGAGCAUCGUGCGGCAGCCGACAAGGGUAAAACCACUCACCUGCCCGGGAUCUGGGUCCUUCACUGGGCUGACACAGAACCUGCACGAUGGAGGAAAUCAUCCUGCAGAGUCCUGGGGUUGUAUCUUCCCCCAGAGACAGCUUUGGCAAGAGGGCAGCUGCCAAGUUGGUCUUCAGGCUGAAGCUCAGUAACAAUCACUGGCUGGCUUGACAACAGGGGACCUGUUAUGAAAUCAAGCUCUAGAAGCAGCAGAAGGAAGGUUGUUCUGGAGCAGGUCUUGCAGAUGGCCACUGAUGGGUCACCUCAGUGAACCUCAGUGUGAAAUGGCCACCUCAGUGUAACUGCUCCUGCUCCCCUCCCUGGCCUGGCUGCAGCCACCUCCUUGGACCUGAUCUGCAGCUGGCUGGAGGGAAAAGAGAUUGUCUUCUCUUGCAGAAUAAAAUAAGUAAUGGAAAA